GACGAACGCUGGCGGCGUGCUUAACACAUGCAAGUCGAACGAUGAAACCGGAGCUUGCUCUGGGGGAUUAGUGGCGAACGGGUGAGUAACACGUGAGUAACCUGCCCUGGACUCUGGGAUAAGCGUUGGAAACGACGUCUAAUACCGGAUAGGACCUUGGAUCGCAUGAUCUGGGGUGGAAAGUUUCUUCGGUGCGGGAUGGACUGGCGGCCUAUCAGCUUGUUCGUGAGGUAAGGGCUCACCAAGGCGUCGAAGGGUAGCCGGCCUGAGAGGGUGACCGGACAAACUGGCACUGAGUCACGGCACAGCCGGUGACGAAGGGCAGCAAUUGGGAGAAGUGCGCACUGGGCGAACGCCAGAAGAGGCUGAGCCGCGUGCGGGAUGACAGCCCUCGGAUUGUAAAACGCUUUUAGUAGGGAAGCAUAGCUUCGGCUUGACGGUACCUGCCGAAAAAGCACCGGCUAACUACGUG
This 472-nucleotide ribosomal RNA is filed under the name uncultured bacterium. RNAcentral describes it as "partial 16S ribosomal RNA". It matches the Rfam family "Bacterial small subunit ribosomal RNA", at positions 28 to 507 of the family's 1533-position model. The record is from RNAcentral.